AGAGUUUGAUCCUGGCUCAGAACGAACGCUGGCGGCAUGCCUAAUACAUGCAAGUCGAACGAGACCUUCGGGUCUAGUGGCGCACGGGUGCGUAACGCGUGGGAAUCUACCCUUGGGUUCGGAAUAACAUCGGGAAACUGAUGCUAAUACCGGAUGAUGACGUAAGUCCAAAGAUUUAUCGCCCAGGGAUGAGCCCGCGUAGGAUUAGCUUGUUGGUGAGGUAAAGGCUCACCAAGGCGACGAUCCUUAGCUGGUCUGAGAGGAUGAUCAGCCACACUGGGACUGAGACACGGCCCAGACUCCUACGGGAGGCAGCAGUAGGGAAUAUUGGACAAUGGGGGCAACCCUGAUCCAGCAAUGCCGCGUGAGUGAUGAAGGCCUUAGGGUUGUAAAGCUCUUUUACCCGGGAUGAUAAUGACAGACCGGGAGAAUA
Molecule: ribosomal RNA, 433 nt
Filed under: uncultured Sphingomonas sp.
Lineage: Bacteria; Pseudomonadati; Pseudomonadota; Alphaproteobacteria; Sphingomonadales; Sphingomonadaceae
Description: bacterial SSU rRNA
Rfam family: Bacterial small subunit ribosomal RNA
Source: RNAcentral